This 468-nucleotide ribosomal RNA is filed under the name uncultured bacterium. RNAcentral's name for it is "partial 16S ribosomal RNA". It matches the Rfam family "Bacterial small subunit ribosomal RNA", at positions 28 to 507 of the family's 1533-position model. The record is from RNAcentral.
GACGAACGCUGGCGGCGUGCUUAACACAUGCAAGUCGAACGGAAAGGCCCUGCUUUUGUGGGGUGCUCGAGUGGCGAACGGGUGAGUAGCACGUGAGUAACCUGCCCUUGACUUUGGGAUAACUUCAGGAAACUGGGGCUAAUACCGGAUAGGAGCUCCUGCUGCAUGGUGGGGGUUGGAAAGUUUCGGCGGUUGGGGAUGGACUCGCGGCUUAUCAGCUUGUUGGUGGGGUAGUGGCUUACCAAGGCUUUGACGGGUAGCCGGCCUGAGAGGGUGACCGGCCACAUUGGGACUGAGAUACGGCCGAGAGUCCUACGGGAGGCAGCAGUGGGGAAUAUUGCACAAUGGGCGGAAGCCUGAUGCAGCAACGCCGCGUGCGGGAUGACGGCCUUCGGGUUGUAAACAGCUUUCGCCGGUGACGAAGCGUGAGUGACGGUAAUGGGUAAAGAGGCACCGGCUAACUACGUG